CGUUGCGUGUGCGUGCGAGUGUGUGUGUGUGUGAGCAUGUGUGUGUGGAGAGUGAAGAAUGUAGGUUCUAGAAUACAGAGUCCAGUGCUUGGCACUGGAACUUACCUGCCACUUAAACUUGGGUUUCCAAAACUCAAGGUCACGCAUGCCACAUCACAGAAUGUCCCCUGGAGCACAGGCCCUUACAGCCAUAGUCCAGGCUCUAGGAGAAAGGGCCGAAGGGAUCACCUGUCGGCUGGGGCAGCACACCUAAGGCCUUUCUGGAAGUCCCACCCUGCCACUCACUCGCACGCUCCUCUGCGAGGAGCUGGGAACGGUUCAGGGUCACCCACGGCUGGGCCAUCGUGGUGGGUGUGGCAGAGAGAGGAGGGAAAGGACGCUGCGCAGGUGGCGGGCAGGAGGCUCCCUGCUCCACUCUGUCUGGGCCCCUUUUCCUUUCCUGGGCUUCUGGCUGUCCGGCCAGUGUGGUGGUCCAGGCCUGCAGGAGUUGGCACCGGGUCUGGAGGAAGGCAGAGACCCGUCCAGUGCCCUCAGGUCCUCAGGGUCAAGGUGGGUCUCCCUGUGCCUGUUUGCAGGUCAGCAUCCACAGGCAGGUCCAGGCCGGGUCUGCUGCCCAGGGCCAGGGUGUGGGCCCCAGGCUGCCAGGGUGGCACGGCCUCUGCUUUAUCUUGGGUCUGCCAGAUGGGCCCCGGAACCUGGUGACGAGUACGACAGUGUCUCAGCCCACAGCAGCCCCGGGAGCCACGUCCCGUUGUGCGGGUGCUGUCUUCCCCAGGUCCUUCCCCUCCUGUCCUGAAAGGAGCAGACCUGGGCCUCGGGGUUAGCCAUGACACCUACAAAGACCCUGCACCCACAAAGUGCGUGUUGUCCCGGGGCCUGCCUGCAGCCCAGUCCCAUGCAGAGCAUGGCUCCCUUCACCGCCCAAGGACAAGGGGUCGGGCCCCUUCACAGCCUUCCUGACCCAUGGCCACCAGCUGAGCUCCUCUUCAGAAUCCCUUCCCAAAGAACCCGACAGAUCUGCUUCUGCAGUGCUGGGGUUAAAGGGCCUCAGCUUGGAUGGCGGUCAGCCAGCGUCUCCUGCUUUGGCACCCACCCACGCCGCUGGUCUAUGUGCAGCCCGCCUGGCUGUGCGCAGUGUCCAGAAACCUGGGUAUCCAGCUGCCCAUCUUCCUGCCGACAUGUCCCCCAGCUGGUGCAUCCAGAGUGGACGGGAGCUGCGCGAAGCGGAUCGCAGAGCUCUGCGGUGGUGUGCUGAGUGGUCAAAGACAGAGUCGGCCAGGCUCCGUUUCUUUCUUUUUUUUUGAGAGAGAGAAAGAGAGAGAGAGAGAGAGAGUUUUUUUUAGUAUUUAUUUUUCAGUUUUCGGUGGACACAACAUCUUUGUGUGCAUGUGGUGCUGGGGAUUGAACCGGGGCUGCACGCAUGCCAGGCGAGCGCGCUACCGCUUGAGCCACAUCCCCAGCCCUCCCCCUUGCAUUUCAUAGUAGUGAGAGUGCUCUGGAGAUUCCUGGAGCAGGAAGUUGGAGUAUGGAAUAGUGAUAAAGAAAUACACGGUGUGUGCUCUUUCAGGAGAUGUGUGUGGUGGCUGUGGAUCAUUUCACUCCCUUCUCAGAGAUGAGGAGACUGAGGGUCAGAGUGGCCACUGGCCUAGGAGCACUAAGGCAUUUUCUAGUCAUUUGAUCUGUUCCCAUUUUCUCUUCACUAAAGUGAAGAUAAUAUACUUUAAAAAAUAAUGCUUAUCUUUCAGGAUUCUUUGGGGUCCAAAUCCUUACCUGC
RNAcentral lists this long non-coding RNA (1774 nucleotides) under Marmota monax (woodchuck). Lineage: Eukaryota; Metazoa; Chordata; Mammalia; Rodentia; Sciuridae. The record is from RNAcentral.